AAGUCGUAACAAGGUCUCCGUUGGUGAACCAGCGGAGGGAUCAUUACUGAGUUACCGCUCUAUAACCCUUUGUGAACAUACCUAACUGUUGCUUCGGCGGGCAGGGGGUGCCGCCUGCGGACCCCCCUCCCGGCCCUGCCCUCACGGGCGGAGCGCCCGCCGGAGGAUACCAAACUCUAUUUUAACGACGUUUCUUCUGAGUGGCACAAGCAAAUAAUUAAAACUUUCAACAACGGAUCUCUUGGUUCUG
RNAcentral lists this unclassified non-coding RNA (250 nucleotides) under Colletotrichum coccodes. Its description in RNAcentral is "partial internal transcribed spacer region". The stretch from base 1 to 46 matches the Rfam family "Eukaryotic small subunit ribosomal RNA", at positions 1786 to 1831 of the family's 1831-position model. RNAcentral also lists the same sequence under 2 other names. The record is from RNAcentral. Lineage: Eukaryota; Fungi; Ascomycota; Sordariomycetes; Glomerellales; Glomerellaceae.